RNAcentral lists this long non-coding RNA (3626 nucleotides) under Manihot esculenta (cassava). RNAcentral describes it as "long non-coding RNA (MESC_LNC007753)". The record is from RNAcentral. Lineage: Eukaryota; Viridiplantae; Streptophyta; Magnoliopsida; Malpighiales; Euphorbiaceae.
ACCCCCUCAACCCAAUCAACUCACAAACUUCUAAGAUCCUUCAGCUAGAUCCUGAUUAAACCUAUAUCCUGCUAAGAAAUUCAAUAAUUUCUUCCAGAGACUCCAAAUUGGAUAGGUGAGUUUUAUCCCUUUUAUUCAAAUUUUUACGAUAUAAUUUAUUUUCUCUACCCUUAUGGCCCUAGCAGAAUUGAAGGAGUUAACAACACAAUUGCAGGAGCUACUUGAUAAAGGUUUCAUAAGACCCAGUGUUUCACCUUGGGGAGCCCCUGUGCUAUUUGUGAAGAAGAAGGAUGGUUCCUUAAGGUUGUGUAUUGACUACAGAGAAUUGAAUCGAGUCACUGUGCGAAACAAGUAUCCUUUACCCCGGAUUGAUGAUCUUUUUUAUCAGCUCCAAGGUGCUAAAGUAUUCUCUAAGAUUGAUUUGCGGUCUGGCUAUCAUCAAUUGAAGAUCAAGGAGUCUGAAAUACCUAAGACAGCCUUUAGAACUCGUUACGGACAUUAUGAGUUUCUCGUUAUGCCUUUCGGGUUAACUAAUGCACCCGCUGCUUUUAUGGAUCUCAUGAAUAGGGUGUUCAAGCCCUACUUGGAUAACUUUGUUAUUGUGUUUAUUGAUGACAUCUUAGUAUAUUCCCGUAGCAAGGAAGAGCAUGAGAAGCAUUUACGGAUAGUACUGCAAAUUUUGAGAGAUAAACAACUAUAUGCUAAAUUGAGCAAAUGUGAGUUCUGGCUUGAUCGGGUGGUUUUCUUGGGACAUGUUAUCUCAGCAGAUGGAGUUUUGGUUGAUCCUAAGAAGAUUGAAGCAGUAGUCAAUUGGGAUUCUCCAACUAAUGUUACAGAGGUUAGAAGUUUUCUGGGCUUAGCAGGGUAUUAUUGUCGCUUUGUUCAGGAUUUCUCCAUCAUUGCAGCACCAUUGACUAAACUCCUUCGAAAGAAUGCAAAGUUUGAAUGGACAGAUGAAUGUCAAGAGAGUUUUGACAAGCUUAAAACGUGUCUCACAUCAGCCCCAGUUCUUACCUUACCCUCAGGUACAAAUGGAUUUAUGGUGUAUAGUGAUGCUUCUCACAAGGGUUUAGGCUGUGUACUCAUGCAACAUGGGAAGGUGAUAGCUUAUGCUUCUAGACAGCUUAGACCACAUGAAUUAAAUUAUCCCACCCAUGAUCUGGAAUUAGCUGCAGUUGUGUUUGCAUUAAAGACAUGGAGGCAUUAUCUUUAUGGCGUGACUUGCCAGAUUUUUACAGAUCAUAAGAGUUUGAAGUAUCUUCUCACACAGAAGGAGUUGAAUUUAAGGCAGAAACGGUGGAUUGAGUUACUUAAGGACUACGACUGUACUAUUGAAUAUCAUCCAGGUAAAGCUAAUGUGGUAGCUGAUGCCCUUAGUCGCAAGUCCUUUAGUAAUUUGGCUUAUCUCAAAACAGUUCGGCUUUCUUUGUUACUAGAGAUCAGAUUCUUAAGAGUAGAACUAGCAGUGGAUGAUGCAGGAGCAUUGUUAGCAACUCUCAAAGUUCGACCAGUUUUGAUAGAAAAAGUUAGAGAAGCCUAAAAUCAAGAUGAGCAGUUAAGUAAGAUCAGUAAUGAAGUAAGAGAUGGCACCCGUACCGACUUUUCUCUAAGGGAGGAUGAGACUUUAAUGUUUGGUGAUAGACUAUGUGUACCCAGAGUGGAAAGCUUGAAGAGAAAGAUUAUGGAGGAAGCCCAUUGCUCUGCUUACUCUAUGCAUCCAGAAAGCACAAAAAUGUACAAAGAUCUUAGAGAACACUAUUGGUGGCCAGGUAUGAAGAAAGAAAUAGCUGACUUUGUGUCCACAUGCUUAGUUUGUCAACAGAUUAAAGCAGAACAUCAACAUCCAAUAGGAAAGCUGCAACCGCUCUCUAUUUCGGAAUGGAAGUGGGAACACAUUACUAUGGAUUUUGUUUCUGGGUUACCUCGUACUUCGCAUGGACAUAAUGCAGUAUGAGUGAUAGUUGAUAGAUUAACCAAGUCAGCACACUUUUUGCCUAUCAGGAUGGAUUAUUCUUUAGACAAGUUAGCAGAGAUCUAUGUCAAUGAGAUUGUAAGACUUCAUGGUGCUCUAGUUUCUAUUGUUUCAAAUAGAGAUCCAAGAUUCACUUCUCGUUUUUGGCCUAGUUUGCAAAAUGCUUUAGGCACCAAGUUGAAGUUUAGCACUUCCUUUCACCCUCAAACUGAUGGUCAAUCAGAAAGAACUAUUCAGACCUUGGAGGAUAUGCUGAGAGCUUGUGUGAUGGAGUUUAGAGGAAGUUGGGAUAGGUAUGUGCAUUUAAUGGAGUUCUCUUAUAACAAUAGUUAUCAUUCGAGUAUCGGCAUAGCUCCUUACGAAGCUUUGUAUGGGAGAAGAUGCAGAACGCCAUUGUGUUGGAAUGAGGUAGGGAAAAGACAAUUAGAAGGUCCAGAACUAGUACAACACACUACAGAUAAAAUUCAGAUGAUUAAAAGUAGAUUAAAAGCAGCACAAGACAAACAGAAGAGUUAUGCAGAUCUGAAGAGAAGGGAUAUUGAAUAUAAUGUUGGCGACAAGGUAUUUCUAAAGAUCUCUCCUUGGAAAGGGGUUGUACGUUUUGGCAAACGUGGAAAAUUGAGUCCGCGAUUCAUAGGACCAUAUGAGAUUUUAGAGAGAAUUGGACCAGUUGCUUAUCGUUUAGCACUACCUCCAGAGCUAUCUCAGAUUCAUGAUGUCUUCCAUGUAUCUAUGUUAAGGAGAUACAGAAGUGACCCUUCCCACAUCCUCCAGAAACAGCCUAUCGAGUUGAGGGAAGAUUUAACAUAUGAAGAAGAGCCAGUAGAGAUCAUUGCCAGAAAAGAGAAGGUUUUAAGGAGCAAGAUAAUACUUCUGGUUAAAGUUCGAUGGAGUAACCAUUCUGCUAAAGAAGCUACCUGGGAAAAAGAAGAGAAUAUGCGAAUUCAAUUCCCACAUUUAUUCCCUUCACCAGGUAUAUAAAAUUUCGAGGACGAAAUUUCUAUUAGGAAGAGAGAAUUAUCAAGCCCAGGCCCAGGCCUAUAUAUAAAAAAAAAAAUAUAGAGAGCAUUAAAGCUCUGGUUUCGGGAAUGUCCCGAAACAUUCCCGAAACCAAAGCAUGUUGUCUUCCUCCCUCGCGAAAUAGAGCAGAACCUCUGUUAUUCUAAAAAAAAAAAAAUUCCUCUUUUAAAUCCAAAUCUCCACCCCUCAACCCAAUCAACCCACAAACUUCUAAGAUCCUUCAGCUAGAUCCUGAUUAAACCUAUAUCCUGCUAAGAAAUUCAAUAAUUUCUUCUAGAGACUCCAAAUUGGAUAGGUGAGUUUUAUCCCUUUUAUUCAAAUUUUUACGAUAUAAUUUAUUUUCUCUACCCUUUUAAUAGUGAUUUUUGGUGAUUUGAGAAUUAAAAGGGUAUAUGUUUUAGUUAGAUCCAAUUAAUGAGUUUUAAUAUUUCUUUUUGGGAUGAUGAUUUUUUAUAGGUUAUUGAGUAUUUUUGUUGAGUUUGGGUAUUUUUGGGAGGACUAACUAUGCCGAAAUACUGCCGAAAUUUUCUUAAAAAUAUAUAUAAAAAUAUAUUUAAAAUUUCGUAUUUUACGUUUUAUAUUAUUGUCCUAGAUUAUUUUUUUUAUUAUUAUUUGAUAUAUUAUUUAUUUUUUC